This 453-nucleotide ribosomal RNA is filed under the name uncultured bacterium. RNAcentral describes it as "bacterial SSU rRNA". It matches the Rfam family "Bacterial small subunit ribosomal RNA", at positions 340 to 786 of the family's 1533-position model. The record is from RNAcentral.
UACGGGAGGCAGCAGUGGGGAAUAUUGCACAAUGGGCGCAAGCCUGAUGCAGCCAUGCCGCGUGUAUGAAGAAGGCCUUCGGGUUGUAAAGUACUUUCAGUCGUGAGGAAGGUGUUAAGGUUAAUAACCUUAGCAAUUGACGUUAGCGACAGAAGAAGCACCGGCUAACUCCGUGCCAGCAGCCGCGGUAAUACGGAGGGUGCGAGCGUUAAUCGGAAUUACUGGGCGUAAAGGGCACGCAGGCGGUUAAUUAAGUUGGAUGUGAAAUCCCCGGGCUUAACCUGGGAAUGGCACUCAAGACUGGUUAGCUAGAGUCUUGUAGAGGGGGUAGAAUUCCAUGUGUAGCGGUGAAAUGCGUAGAGAUGUGGAGGAAUACCGGUGGCGAAGGCGGCCCCUGGACAAAGACUGACGCUCAUGUGCAAAAGCGUGGGGAGCAAACAGGGAUUAGAUACC